RNAcentral lists this ribosomal RNA (284 nucleotides) under uncultured bacterium. RNAcentral describes it as "partial 16S ribosomal RNA". It matches the Rfam family "Bacterial small subunit ribosomal RNA", at positions 334 to 632 of the family's 1533-position model. The record is from RNAcentral.
GGGCCCUACGGGGGGCAGCAGUGGGGAAUAUUGCACAAUGGGCGAAAGCCUGAUGCAGCAACGCCGCGUGAAGGAAGAAGGGUUUCGGCUCGUAAACUUCUAUCAACAGGGACGAAAGAAAUGACGGUACCUGAAUAAGAAGCCCCGGCUAACUACGGGCCAGCAGCCGCGGUAAUACGUAGGGGGCAAGCGUUAUCCGGAAUUACUGGGUGUAAAGGGUGAGUAGGCGGCAUGGGAAGCCAGAUGUGAAAGGCUUGGGCUUAACCCGGGGAUGGCAUUUGGAA